CCUACGGGCGGCUGCAGUGGGGAAUAUUGGGCAAUGGGCGCAAGCCUGACCCAGCAACGCCGCGUGUAGGAAGAAGGCUUUCGGGUUGUAAACUUCUUUUCUCAGGGACGAAGCAAGUGACGGUCCCUGAGGAAUAAGCCACGGCUAACUACGUGCCAGCAGCCGCGGUAAUACGUAGGUGGCAAGCGUUCUCCGGAUUUACUGGGUGUAAAGGGCGUGUAGGGCGGACUGCAAGUCAGAUGGGAAAACCACGUGCUCAACCUGGGGCCUGGAUUUGAAACUGUAGUUCUUGAGUACUGGAGAGGCAGAGGGAAUUCCUAGUGUAGCGGUGAAAUGCGUAGAUAUUAGGAGGAACACCAGUGGCGAAGGCGGUCUGAUGGAGAGCAACUGACGCUGGGGCGCGAAAGCGUGGGGAGCAAACAGGAUUAGAUACCCCGAGUAGUC
This 444-nucleotide ribosomal RNA is filed under the name uncultured bacterium. RNAcentral's name for it is "partial 16S ribosomal RNA". It matches the Rfam family "Bacterial small subunit ribosomal RNA", at positions 338 to 795 of the family's 1533-position model. The record is from RNAcentral.